This 793-nucleotide ribosomal RNA is filed under the name uncultured bacterium. RNAcentral's name for it is "bacterial SSU rRNA". It matches the Rfam family "Bacterial small subunit ribosomal RNA", at positions 8 to 798 of the family's 1533-position model. The record is from RNAcentral.
AGAGUUUGAUCAUGGCUCAGAUUGAACGCUGGCGGCAUGCCUUACACAUGCAAGUCGAACGGUAACAGGUCUUCGGAUGCUGACGAGUGGCGAACGGGUGAGUAAUACAUCGGAACGUGCCCGAUCGUGGGGGAUAACGAGGCGAAAGCUUUGCUAAUACCGCAUACGAUCUACGGAUGAAAGCGGGGGAUCUUCGGACCUCGCGCGGACGGAGCGGCCGAUGGCAGAUUAGGUAGUUGGUGGGAUAAAAGCUUACCAAGCCGACGAUCUGUAGCUGGUCUGAGAGGAUGAUCAGCCACACUGGGACUGAGACACGGCCCAGACUCCUACGGGAGGCAGCAGUGGGGAAUUUUGGACAAUGGGCGAAAGCCUGAUCCAGCCAUGCCGCGUGCAGGAUGAAGGCCUUCGGGUUGUAAACCGCUUUUGUACGGAACGAAAAGCCUCUUUCUAAUAAAGAGGGGUCAUGACGGUACCGUAAGAAUAAGCACCGGCUAACUACGUGCCAGCAGCCGCGGUAAUACGUAGGGUGCAAGCGUUAAUCGGAAUUACUGGGCGUAAAGCGUGCGCAGGCGGUUUUGUAAGACAGAGGUGAAAUCCCCGGGCUCAACCUGGGAACUGCCUUUGUGACUGCAAGGCUGGAGUGCGGCAGAGGGGGAUGGAAUUCCGCGUGUAGCAGUGAAAUGCGUAGAUAUGCGGAGGAACACCGAUGGCGAAGGCAAUCCCCUGGGCCUGCACUGACGCUCAUGCACGAAAGCGUGGGGAGCAAACAGGAUUAGAUACCCCGGUAGUCCAA